GCCCCGGUAGCUCAGCCUGGUGGAGCGCCUCACUGGUAUUGAGGAGGUCCCGGGUUCAGGGGAACCCGCCCAGGAAU
This 77-nucleotide transfer RNA is filed under the name Thermoproteus sp. JCHS_4. Its description in RNAcentral is "tRNA-Thr". Lineage: Archaea; Thermoproteati; Thermoproteota; Thermoprotei; Thermoproteales; Thermoproteaceae. The record is from RNAcentral.